Molecule: ribosomal RNA, 697 nt
Filed under: uncultured bacterium
Lineage: Bacteria
Description: bacterial SSU rRNA
Rfam family: Bacterial small subunit ribosomal RNA
Source: RNAcentral
AGAGUUUGAUCAUGGCUCAGAUUGAACGCUGGCGGCAUGCCUCAUACAUGCAAGUCGGACGGUAACAUACACUUCGGUGUGAUGACGAGUGGCGGACGGGUGAGUAAUGCAUAAGAAUCUGCCUAUUAGUGUGGGACGACGUGUGGAAACGCACGCUAAUACCGCAUACAUCCUACGGGGAAGAGGUUGCCUCUUCAUGAACGCAAUCGCUAAUAGAUGAGCUUAUGUCAGAUUAGCUAGUUGGUAGGGUAAGAGCUUACCAAGGCGACGAUCUGUAGCCGGCCUGAGAGGGUGAACGGCCACACUGGGACUGAGACACGGCCCAGACUCCUACGGGAGGCAGCAGUAGGGAAUAUUGGACAAUGGGGGCAACCCUGAUCCAGCAAUGCCGCGUGUGUGAAGAAGGCCUGCGGGUUGUAAAGCACUUUCAGUAGGGAGGAAAUACUUAAAGUUAAUAGCUUUAAGAGUUGACGUUACCUACAGAAGAAGCACCGGCUAACUCUGUGCCAGCAGCCGCGGUAAUACAGAGGGUGCGAGCGUUAAUCGGAAUUACUGGGCGUAAAGGGUACGUAGGCGGCUCCUUAAGUCUGAUGUGAAAUCCCCGUGCUUAACAUGGGAAUUGCAUCGGAUACUGGGUAGCUAGAGUAUAGUAGAGGAGAGUGGAAUUUCUAGUGUAGCGGUGAAAUGCGUAGAUAUU